AGACAACCGAGCAUACGGCGGAAUCAAUUAGAAAGCACUUCAGGAGGCACUUGUGGAACACCAGGUUUCUGGAGAAGCAGCGGGAUUCGGAACAGUUCUUGGCACUUCCUGCAGUCCGGUAAGCAUUUUGAAGCAUCAGUGUACAUAUUACUUGAAAACCCUGUGUUGAACAAAUUGUCAAAGUCACUAACUUCUAACGAUUGUAUGAAAAUGUCACUCACUCACUGGCACUUAAAUCGUCUUUACUUAUAGAUAGUUCACAGUAAUACAUUAGGUACUACUAUGGAACUGCUAUGCGCUAUUCUCUAUCAUACAACAGUGUAUAUUGUUAAUUGAUAACUUCAUUCAAUUUAUUAGCCAUUUAUUACACCCAAGUUAGGACUUUAUUGUCUUUCAAGAGUCCAAACAUGUACAUCUGAUUCAGAUCUAUAUCUAGAUCUGUUUUUGGCAAUGCCUCAUGGGUGAGCCUAAUGGCUGUAAUAGUAUUGUGUGCAGUUUGCAAGACUUCUAGGAAUUGUAUAAGAAUUUGUCCACAGGAAUUUUAAUCGGCUGCUGGGGAAUGAUAACCCAGGAAUUCCAGAUUGUCCCCAUUGAAUCCGAGGAAUGCAAGCUAGGAGUAUCCCAGCCUAAUAAGGAAUGUCACAUUUGUCCACACAUGCACAUUUAUUUGGAGUUAUUCAAUCGGUUUCAAGAUCGAAGCAGUGUCUGGUGGCCUCAUUUGUUGUCUGUGUUAAGUAUGUAUGGGGAAGUUCUCGAUAACUACUUUGGUCCACAGAUGACAGUGUACAGUGUAUUUACAUGUAUAUACAAUGAAACCAUGGAUGCUGUUGGCUCAUGGAUAAUAUAGCAAAGCACAAUUCUAUCAUAAUUUGUCAAGUUGAACUUAUAAUACUUGUAUACUAUUGUUUUUCAGCCUCAAAUUGCGUCCAUCUUGAAACCGUUGAAGUAUACACAGCAGAAGAGGAUGAAGAUAAUUAAUAGCUUACUACAGAAGUUCUGUUUUGAUACAAAUUGAAUUGAUUGGCACAAAUACAUGCUCUACUUUCCUCAGUAGUCCCUGGCAGCAAAUGAAGAACCAUUUGUGGUGUGGCGGACUCGGCACACCACUUGGGCAAUCCUACAAUGGAAAUGGGCAAGCCUGUUCCCAAAAACCAAGGCAGCGUGCAUGAAUCGUAAAAAAAGCCGCCUGAGAUUCCUAAAGUGGGAGCAGAGAAAUAUGCUCAGGUUCAUUGCAGAAAACAAGGAACUGACCCUAAAGGGAAAUGAGAGCUCCAAGAUACACUUAAGUUGAACAGUGCGGCGCAGUAGGCAUCGAGAGUCACCCCCCUCCCCCUAAGUUCAACACUCAGCACGCCCAGGAAGGCCAACCACCCACCCAAGGUAAGAGACUUACUAGCGGUCUUACCAGGAAGGCGCAUGACAGAGUCGUCAGGGAGGUGAGUUGGCCCCAUGAAUACGGUUUUUCCGCCACCACUGCCGUUACUUGCGACUCCCUGACCUACGACCAAUUCGUUGCCAGAGAAAUGUCUAUCAUUCUCAGUCCACACACCCAUUCAAUGGAAAGCCGUAACGGGACACAUUCUGAGGGGACUCAUGCUGGAUGUGCCCACAUACACUUUUCAUGGUAUUAUGAACUUCUUCAAGAUCCUCCUGAUCCAUGUAGAACACGGUUUAGUCACCAUUGAUACUGACACCACACUGGCCGAAGUACACAAACUAAAGGAAGAUCAUCUGCGGCGGCCCUCACUGGAGUUUGACCAUGGUCAUGCACACAACGGUUUCCAGCAGGCGGCACCCACCGAUAGAGGUCCACACAGCACAUACUGCUACAGGUACCAGGCUAAUAACUGCUCCUUUGCCACUGACCACAUCUCAGCGUCAGGCACACUCCACGUACAGUUCUGUGCCAGGAAUAGGCCAGAAGUGGAUGCCGGUCACCCCGCCAAGUUCUGUCCAGUCAACAGAGAUAGGGGAAGACAUGGCGGAGAUUCAGGGAACCGCGACAGUUCCUGACUAGACUCGGCGCACAGCAGGCAUCGGACUUCCCAGGCAACGACCUUGACCGAAUCUACGACCAAAGAGCAACGUUCAAGCCCCGUUCUAGGAGAUCCCUCGUGCAAGCCCUCAAGACUCGUCACGAGAGGUACCCACGCCCGACACUGCUCUGAAGCCUUCACCUGUCUUGACGGCGAGCAGCUACGACCCACAUCGCGCUCCAAUGCCCUCACCAGCCCAGACGGCGAGUCGUGUUCCCCCACAGCCCUCCCCAAGCGGAACAGCAGGCACGUACCAUGGUUCCUCCACCCAAGCCACACAGAGGUCCAGUACCUGCCCCGCAUCUACUGUCCCGAAGCAGGUGACACCCGCGGCGACUGGCUCGCAGUCUCACCAGCCGAGCGCACCGCCCCUCCAACAACCCAGCGGCGCCAAGCACACAGCCCGUGACCUGCACGACAUCAUCUACGCGUCAGGCCAGUACAACUUCCGUGGCUUUCGUAUCCCGUUACAAACCCAACUCAAUAUUCCAGCGUGGCGAUCUUCCUUGGAACAUUAUGUCGAUAAUGGUAUUGUGGUCAUGAAGGUUCAUAACCUACAGUCUUUAUAAUGGCUGAACCUGCUGGGGCAAUUGCUGUAGUAAUUAGAGGUCACCCGAGAUAGGGCAAAAUGGCAGCUGCUGACACUGAUUUAGCCCAGCCUAUUGUAAGCUCCUUGCAAAUCACGCUGCUCCUGGCUCCAAAGAGAUAGUACUAUUAGUAGAGAUAGCACACCCAAUAACGUUAACAAUAACGAUCUAAACAACGACCUACAGCCCAGUCCUUGAUACAUGUAGGUGACACCUGCUGCACAUACAUGAGUACGUGAGUACUCCUGGAGUAUUUGAAGCUCCAGUUUAGCCUUGGUGGUGGUUGUAGUAAGUUAUUG
Branchiostoma floridae (Florida lancelet) is the source of this 2922-nucleotide long non-coding RNA. RefSeq lists it as uncharacterized. The transcript has 3 exons. The record is from RefSeq and is a predicted model, not a curated record. Lineage: Eukaryota; Metazoa; Chordata; Leptocardii; Amphioxiformes; Branchiostomatidae.